This is a long non-coding RNA of Mugil cephalus (flathead mullet), 355 nucleotides long. RefSeq lists it as uncharacterized. The record is from RefSeq and is a predicted model, not a curated record. The transcript is spliced from 3 exons. NCBI's taxonomy places the organism in Eukaryota, Metazoa, Chordata, Actinopteri, Mugiliformes, Mugilidae.
CGUCCUUGCCUAAGUCUUUCGCACCGUUUUGUGGCGACAACCAGUAGUAGGUGAGUUUUCACAUUGAAUGAAGACUUAAAUUUAAACAAGACACAUUUAAUUUAACAAAGAAAUAAAACUAUACUGAUAAAGGUUUCUUUUCCUAUGCAGGCAGGAUGGCCAGUCCCCCUCUGCUUUCUCAAUCACCUUUAACUAACAAUACUGCAAAAAUCUACUGGGCACUGAACUUCCCACGGGAUAAAUAAAGUAUUUAACUACCUCCCAAAUUGAGAACUACCAACGUUCGUUGAUGAGAAAACAUUGUUUGAGCCUCACACAAAACGGAUCCUGGUUUAUCUACUAAGGUAUGGGUAAG